This 1590-nucleotide ribosomal RNA is filed under the name Pitta nympha. Its description in RNAcentral is "16S rRNA". It matches the Rfam family "Bacterial large subunit ribosomal RNA", at positions 361 to 2830 of the family's 2925-position model. The record is from RNAcentral. Lineage: Eukaryota; Metazoa; Chordata; Aves; Passeriformes; Pittidae.
AGCCCGCCUCUAGCUCCGUCACUUGCAAACCAAAUCCCCCCACCAAGUAAAUUAAAACAUUUUUCUACCCAACCUAGUAUAGGUGAUAGAAAGGUAAUACAGAACGCAAUAGAGAAACGUACCGUAAGGAAAAGAUGAAAUAAUAAUGAAAACAAAGCACUAAAAAGCAAAGAUCAGCCCUUGUACCUUUUGCAUCAUGACUUAGCAAGAACUAACCCAAGCAAAACGAACUUUCAGUUUGCCCUCCCGAAACCCAAGCGAGCUACUCACAAGCAGCUAUCCACUGAGCCAACCCAUCUCUGUUGCAAAAGAGUGGGAUGACUUGAUGACUUGUUAGUAGAGGUGAAAAGCCAAUCGAGCUGGGUGAUAGCUGGUUGCCUGCGAAAUGAAUCUCAGUUCUCCCUUGAUCUAUCUCCACGGACAUUACCCAACCCCUAUGAAAUAAAUCAAGAGUUAUUUAAAGGGGGUACAGCCCCUUUAAACCAAAAAACACUUUCCCAAAGCGGAUAAGCCCCAUAUACCUCCAUUGUGGGCCUUUAAGCAGCCACCAACAAUGAAUGCGUCAAAGCUCUACAGCCCAAAAAUUCAAACACCAUGCAACUCCCUCCCACAUAGCAGGCUAAUCUAUUGUAAUAGAAGCACUAAUGCUAAGAUGAGUAACUAAGGUAAACCCUCUAUAGCACCAACCUACAUCCUCACAUUAUUAACAAACCAAAAUUAAUACACUAACUUCUACAAGCCUACAUAUAACAAACCACUGUUAACCCGACCAGAGGAGUGCGCAAUAAGAGAGAUUAAAACCUGCGAAAGGAACUAGGCAAACCCAAGGCCCGACUGUUUACCAAAAACAUAGCCUCCAGCUAAACCAAGUAUUGGAGGUGAUGCCUGCCCAGUGACAUAACGUUUAACGGCCGCGGUAUCCUAACCGUGCAAAGGUAGCACAAUCAAUUGUCCCAUAAAUCGGGACCUGUAUGAAUGGCUAAACGAGGUCUUAACUGUCUCUCGCAGAUAAUCAGUGAAAUUGAUCUUCCCGUGCAAAAGCAGGAAUAACUACACUAGACAAGAAGACCCUGUGGAACUUAAGAACUAGCAGUCACUCUCCUACACAUUUAAUCCACCGGACCCACACUCACAGAAAAACUGACCUGCAUUCUUCGGUUGGGGCGACCUUGGAGAAAAACAUACCCUCCAAAAAUAAGACCACCCCUCUUAACUUAGAACAACCCCUCUACGUACAAACAGUAACCAGACCCAAUACAAAAAUUGAUCAAUGAAACAAGCUACCCCAGGGAUAACAGCGCAAUCUCCUCCAAGAGCCCCCAUCGACGAGGAGGUUUACGACCUCGAUGUUGGAUCAGGACAUCCUAGUGGUGUAGCCGCUACUAAGGGUUCGUUUGUUCAACGAUUAACAGUCCUACGUGAUCUGAGUUCAGACCGGAGUAAUCCAGGUCGGUUUCUAUCUAUGACAAGCUCUUUCCAGUACGAAAGGACAGAAAUAGCAAGACCUAUACCACAAGCACGUCUUCGCCCUAAGUAAUGCAAACAACUAAAUUACCAAGGGUUCUCACGCCAACAUCCUAGAAAAGGAUC